RNAcentral lists this ribosomal RNA (390 nucleotides) under uncultured bacterium. RNAcentral's name for it is "bacterial SSU rRNA". It matches the Rfam family "Bacterial small subunit ribosomal RNA", at positions 28 to 419 of the family's 1533-position model. The record is from RNAcentral.
GACGAACGCUGGCGGCGUGCUUAACACAUGCAAGUCGAGCGGUAAGGCCCUUUCGGGGGUACACGAGCGGCGAACGGGUGAGUAACACGUGGGUGACCUGCCCUCAGCUCUGGGAUAAGCCUGGGAAACCGGGUCUAAUACUGGAUAUGACUCCAUGACGCAUGUUGUGGGGUGGAAAGCCUUGUGCGGCUGAGGAUGGGCCCGCGGCCUAUCAGCUUGUUGGUGGGGUGAUGGCCUACCAAGGCGACGACGGGUAGCCGGCCUGAGAGGGCGACCGGCCACACUGGGACUGAGACACGGCCCAGACUCUUACGGGAGGCAGCAGUGGGGAAUCUUGCGCAAUGGGCGAAAGCCUGACGCAGCGACGCCGCGUGAGGGAUGACGGCCUGG